GGUCAUGUAAGUGGUGCGUGAAAGCGCCCGGCUCAACCGGGCGAGCCCGUGCCAAACUGCGUGACUGGAGGCAGGUAGAGGCUCGUGGAAUUCCGGGUGUAGAGGUGAAAUGCGUAGAUAUCCGGAGGAACACCAGUGGCGAAGGCGGCGCGCUGGGCCUGACCUGACGCUAAGACGCGAAAGCAUGGGGAGCGAACGGGAUUAGAAACCCCGGUAGUCCAUGCUGUAAACGCUGCAGACUAGGUGUUGCGUGCGACGAGUAUGCAGUGCCGAAGCCAACGUGAUAAGUCUGCCACCUGGGGACUACGGCCGCAAGGUUAAAACUCAAAGUAAUUGACGGGGGCCUGCACAAGCGGUGGAGCAUGUGGUUUAAUUCGAUGCAACGCGAAGAACCUUACCUGCCCUUGACAUCCUCGGAACCCUGCAGAGAUGCGGGGGUGCCUUCGGGAACCGAGUGACAGGUGCUGCCUGGCUGUCGUCAGCUCGUGUCGUGAGAUGUUGGGUUAAGUCCCGCAACGAGCGCAACCCUUGUCCCUAGUUGCCAGCGGUUCGGCCGGGAACUCUAGGGAGACUGCCGGUGAUAAACCGGAGGAAGGUGGGGAUGACGUCAAGUCCAUCAUGGCCCUUACGGGCAGGGCUACACACGUGCUACAAUGGCUGGUACCAGUAAGUGGCGAAGCCGCGAGGUGGAGCUACCCUAAGAAGCCAGUCUUAGUCCGGAUUGGAGUCUGCAACUCGACUCCAUGAAGUCGGAAUCGCUAGUAAUCG
RNAcentral lists this ribosomal RNA (768 nucleotides) under uncultured Chloroflexota bacterium. RNAcentral describes it as "bacterial SSU rRNA". It matches the Rfam family "Bacterial small subunit ribosomal RNA", at positions 577 to 1344 of the family's 1533-position model. The record is from RNAcentral. Lineage: Bacteria; Bacillati; Chloroflexota.